Molecule: ribosomal RNA, 497 nt
Filed under: uncultured bacterium
Lineage: Bacteria
Description: partial 16S ribosomal RNA
Rfam family: Bacterial small subunit ribosomal RNA
Source: RNAcentral
GAUGAACGCUGGCGGCGUGCCUAAUACAUGCAAGUCGAGCGAACAGACGAGGAGCUUGCUCCUCUGACGUUAGCGGCGGACGGGUGAGUAACACGUGGAUAACCUACCUAUAAGACUGGGAUAACUUCGGGAAACCGGAGCUAAUACCGGAUAAUAUAUUGAACCGCAUGGUUCAAUAGUGAAAGACGGUUUUGCUGUCACUUAUAGAUGGAUCCGCGCCGCAUUAGCUAGUUGGUAAGGUAACGGCUUACCAAGGCAACGAUGCGUAGCCGACCUGAGAGGGUGACCGGCCACCCUGAGAUGGAGCCCGGUCCCACCCCCCAAGGGGAGGAGCAAGAGGGAAGUCUGCGAAAAGGGGCGAAGCCCGGGCGGAGCAGCGCCGGGUGAGUGAUGAGGUUUUUGGAAUCGUAAAACUUUUUUUUAAGGAAAAAAAAAAUUUGAAAGUACCACGGCACGUCUGGAGGUUACCAAACAAAAAGACCGGGCCAACCUCGGUG